Gekko japonicus is the source of this 218-nucleotide long non-coding RNA. RefSeq lists it as uncharacterized. The record is from RefSeq and is a predicted model, not a curated record. Lineage: Eukaryota; Metazoa; Chordata; Lepidosauria; Squamata; Gekkonidae. The transcript is spliced from 3 exons.
UGGGAAGGCUAUUUUAAAUCUAAGUGGUGCUAUGGAUCGCCUCGGUCGAAUCUUUCAUAAAGUUCGAAAGCCGGCUGAACGUGUAAAUUUCAGUCUCCAUUAAAGGAUUAGCGCUGGAUUUUGAUCCGGAAGUCGCAAUAAAGGCUAUGAAGCCGUAACCUCCAGUUCUCCGACCCCUUUGCUGAUGCAACUACAAGGUCGCAAUUUACUACAUCCAU